Long non-coding RNA from Protopterus annectens (West African lungfish), 144 nucleotides. RefSeq lists it as uncharacterized. The transcript has 3 exons. Lineage: Eukaryota; Metazoa; Chordata; Ceratodontiformes; Protopteridae. The record is from RefSeq and is a predicted model, not a curated record.
CAAGGUACGGAUAAGUGAAGUGGCGACUGGAUGGAAGCUGAACGCGAGUAGGUUUCUAGGGGUGCUACUUUCAGGACCAGGGGAGCUAGGAGGUAGUUGGCUAGCUAGGGCUUGAAUAGUCUCAGUAAAGAAUUGGUUAAAACU